Molecule: unclassified non-coding RNA, 299 nt
Filed under: fungal sp.
Lineage: Eukaryota; Fungi
Description: partial internal transcribed spacer region
Rfam family: Eukaryotic small subunit ribosomal RNA (bases 1-46)
Source: RNAcentral
AAGUCGUAACAAGGUUUCCGUAGGUGAACCUGCGGAAGGAUCAUUACAACGUCCAAAAGACAAACCAAUCGUGAACUCAGUACCCUUUGGACUAAAGGCAGAGCGGAUGUAAACCUUUUGUGAUGAAGGCGUGCUGACUUUGGCUUCCGAAGCGGUUUAUCUACAUCACUUCUAACAUUACUAAACCCUUUAACACUUUUGAACUGACUUGUUGUUAACGCGGUGCUCCUUUCGGAGUGCUACUAACAAUUGAUUACGUAAAUUACGAACAACUCUUAACAACGGAUAUCUUGGUUCUC